RNAcentral lists this long non-coding RNA (3349 nucleotides) under Amphibalanus amphitrite. RNAcentral's name for it is "uncharacterized LOC122385699, transcript variant X4". Lineage: Eukaryota; Metazoa; Arthropoda; Thecostraca; Balanomorpha; Balanidae. The record is from RNAcentral.
AUAUAAAAUUCAAAUACUAACAUCACAAUUCACAUAGGAAAGGAGCAUAUUUUCACCAUAACUUUUAAAAAUUUGUGUCAAUUUGGAAUACAAUUAAAGUGAACAAUUGUGAAAUUUGAAUGAAAAUAACCAACAUUCCUGACCUAACCUUACCUACUUUCCUAAAAAGUUUGUAAUACCCUUAAUACCAACCUAAAACCCCCAUGCCAGAUGUCUACAACAUACAAACCUUCCAACCAGCCUACUACAGUACCUAACACCUCACAACCUAUUCCAUUCUGAACCUAUUGAUUGGGAUUUUUGUAUACUUUUAUACUCAUUGCAUCCUAGCUUGCUAUUAUAGCAAACAUGCAGGUAUUUAAAGAAAUGUUUUGUUUUUCCUUCUUAGCUGUUGAAAUUUCUUGAAUGCCAACACAACACAACACACCAUGCGCACAUGACAGAGGUCUCCGUCACUGCGGAGGGAAGAUCGCAAUGCUGCUUGCAGGCUGUUGACAGAAAGUGAUCAGUUGUCGUGUUCCGCCAGCUGCUGCGCCGGCGUUGGCAGCGCACAGCCGCUACCAGCUGACACGCCGACCGGUGCGCGUGCGCCGGGCGCCGACGGCCGUCGUCUGGCAGCAACAGCGCUGCCAGUGACUCGCGCUGCUGCUGCAGAAACUGGACAAGGAUCGUAGAAUCCUGGCGUGUUUUUGUAACGUCCAUUAGAGUGAUUUAGACGCAGCGUGUAGAAAGGACUCGUUUAUUGACGUGUGACUUUCUGACAGCUCAGUCACCUGUUGACGGCGGCGCACAGCGUCACCUACCCGCCCUACAGCCGGCCCAGCAGGGUGAGUAGUGAGUACCAAUACCCGCCCUGCAGCCGGCCCCAGCAGGCGGACGGAGAGGCCCGCCCGGGCCCAGUGCCGCACGGAGAGGCGGCGGCGCUGGAGGCCAACACCCCGGCUCGCGGCCUGUAGCUGACGGUGCUGGAGCCGCGAGUCACCGUGGUGGCUGGCCAUGGAGACUUGGAAAAGGCCGGUGAGGUGCGUCUCCAGCUGCGCUGUCAGACGAUCCAGUGGAACGAGCAGCAGCCCAUGUACCCGUCCCGGCUGUGCCGGUGUGUCUCCCAGCUUGAGCGGCGCCGGCCGACCGCUGCGCUGCUCUACAACUGCCACGUCCACACACGAUGCACGGUGACGGCUGACCAGGCGGUGCUGGUCUCGGCCGCGACCGCUCUGGCUGUCCCUGGCCACUCAGCUGGCCAGCAGCUGAGUGGCCCGGCGCCGCCGCCACUGCCCCAGCCGCCGCCGCCGCCGCCGCCAGCGGAGGACCGGGCGGCGGCGUCCUACCUGCAGUGUCACCCAACACCCCCGCUGCGGCGGCCGUCUCCCCAGUGUUCUAAAAUUGGAUUUUGGUUGGGUGUGACGAUGAUGACCAAAAAAUCUAGGAUGAGAAAAAAACAAGUGAAAACCUAUAUCACUUUCGCAAUAAAGGCGUAACGCUACGCUGGCUGAUAAUAAAAGAACAUACCAUUCCUGACCACCAAAACUAACCGAAAAAGACGAUGCAAAUAGGUAAGGAUGAUCUACGGCAGAAUUAUAGCUUUAACAUCUGAUCGCCAAGUGUUUCUAAAUCCGUCCCAUUUUAUCCCAACAUUUGUGUUUGAUUGAGACUAAUGAAUUUAAGAAUCACCCUUGUCUCUUAUACAGCAAAGAAUGAAUACCUACUUCAACCAGUGAGAUUUCAUUUUCCUCACAAGUCAAAAUGCAUUGUCACAAUUGAAUGACAGUCCAGUGGCCAUCCUUCUCCUAGCCUUAAAUCAAUGCCUUCCUUUCCGUUUGAGAUGCAGACAGCAGAUAUUACCGUCAGCAUCUGCUAAGUUCCUACUCAUGCUUACUGGCACGGAUCCAGGACGGUCCUUCUGCCUGUAUAUUUCUCCUAAAGAAGAUCAUCCGCGGACCUCCAUCCUCGCGACGCCAGUCGCCAUCAUGCGAGCGAACUAGGUCUUUAAGAAGCAGAAGAUGCAAUGAUUCUGUUGAAAUCUGUUGUCAUAUCUUAACCCUAUUAGUGGCAGGCUCCUGGCUACCCCUAUUAGUGGCAGGGGGGGGCUGUUUACAACCCCCCCUUGAUAUCUCGAGAUCUAACGGGCCGAUUUUCAAAAUUCAAACGGCAUUCGACUUCGCUCAACGUGAUCUACAUUUCUAAAAAAAAAUUAAGAAAAUGUCAAAAGGGGGGUUGAGGGGGGGUAAAAACGGGCAAAUUGCAGAUACAUUUUAGACUGCUUAUCACGGCCAGGUUUCUGAACCAAUCUUAACGCAACUUUUGCCGAUCGAUAAAGAAUGAACCAGGAAUUCACAUGGAUCCUAAAAAUAUGCAUUUUCAAAAAUCAUAGGCGGAUACAGAUCAUUGAGAUUGGGGGUACACAAAAAGUAUAGCAAAUAAGGUUUUUGUUGGUACUGUUUCUAAAAAGGGUGGUAAUGGUCUUGUUAUGUUACAAUUUUCUUAUGAGAGAACGACUACAAUUGUAUUGGUCAUGCAUAGGCGGUGUCAGGGCACCUAUGUUGGGAGGUAAAACAUAACCCCCCUUUUUGGACGCCUGGAUCCGCCUAUUAUAGCAAAAACGUGUCAAAAGAGGAUGCACAAUAACUUUGUAUAUGUUAUCACAUGAUAAAACUGGUGCAUACAGUUAUAAUACAUCAGCAUCGUGAUCAUCGCCCAAAUGACUCGCUUCACGAAUAGGACCCCCCAAUUCCCAGUGCUCUGGAGCCGCCCUUGGUAAAGUUAUGAACUUGAAAUUUUCAGGGAAUGUGCCCAAUUUAGUUUUAGGAAAAGUCAGAAAAUUUCAGCAUCGUAGCUUCAGCGGUUUCGGAGAUAUUCCCGAAAAACCUGAGGGGUGGAUGAAAACAACCCCCCCCUGCCACUAAUAGGGUUAAGGAGGGUGGGGGAGGGGCGGGUGAGGGAGCUCUCCCUAUAUGCAGGCUUUGGUUCUAGUCACUGGUCAAGGUAGGUAUCUGGUCUGGUGUAGUGUAAUUUGCCAUGUGGAUAAGUUUUCUUUCUUUUUUAAGCAAAGGAAGUGGCAAGGAACCUGUCGUUGCCGUUGCAAAGGGUAUCAUUCGGUCGUCCUGUAUUAUUGAUUUAGUGCAGUUGACUCAGACUGUGUAAUGCGUGAGGCGUGGUCAUCACUGUGACACUGUCAGACAUAAAAUCUUAGGUAAUCAUGAUACCCUGAUGGGCAGUUUGUUGUCGUAACUGAUCGCUAUGAAACCAGAAACCGUAUAACUCAUGUGUUCUGUCCUCUGGGACGUUUUGCGCCUACAAUAUGGCAGCACUGCUUCCAAGAUUACUGUAUAUUUGAGAUAAUAUGCGGCAA